UACCACCUAGAUAGGCGGGGGGUGCAAGAGCUGCGAAGUUUUAAGCUGACCCGUACUAAUCCCCAUCAGAAG
RNAcentral lists this ribosomal RNA (72 nucleotides) under Fucus vesiculosus. RNAcentral's name for it is "partial 23S ribosomal RNA". The record is from RNAcentral. Lineage: Eukaryota; Phaeophyceae; Fucales; Fucaceae.